AGUGGCGGACGGGUGAGUAACGCGUAAGAAUCUAACUUCAGGACGGGGACAACAGUGGGAAACGACUGCUAAUACCCGAUGUGCCGCGAGGUGAAACCUAAUUGGCCUGAAGAAGAGCUUGCGUCUGAUUAGCUAGUUGGUGGGGUAAGAGCCUACCAAGGCGACGAUCAGUAGCUGGUCUGAGAGGAUGAGCAGCCACACUGGGACUGAGACACGGCCCAGACUCCUACGGGAGGCAGCAGUGGGGAAUUUUCCGCAAUGGGCGAAAGCCUGACGGAGCAACGCCGCGUGAGGGAGGGAGGUCUUUGGAUUGUAAACCUCUUUUCUCAAGGAAGAAGUUCUGACGGUACUUGAGGAAUCAGCCUCGGCUAACUCCGUGCCAGCAGCCGCGGUAAUACGGGGGAGGCAAGCGUUAUCCGGAAUUAUUGGGCGUAAAGCGUCCGCAGGUGGUCAGCCAAGUCUGCCGUCAAAUCAGGUUGCUUAACGACUUAAAGGCGGUGGAAACUGGCAGACUAGAGAGCAGUAGGGGUAGCAGGAAUUCCCAGUGUAGCGGUGAAAUGCGUAGAGAUUGGGAAGAACAUCGGUGGCGAAAGCGUGCUACUGGGCUGUAUCUGACACUCAGGGACGAAAGCUAGGGGAGCGAAAGGGAUUAGAUACCCCUGUAGUCCUAGCCGUAAACGAUGGAUACUAGGCGUGGCUU
Molecule: ribosomal RNA, 700 nt
Filed under: uncultured bacterium
Lineage: Bacteria
Description: bacterial SSU rRNA
Rfam family: Bacterial small subunit ribosomal RNA
Source: RNAcentral